This 63-nucleotide transfer RNA is filed under the name Anaerobutyricum hallii. It matches the Rfam family "tRNA", at positions 6 to 65 of the family's 71-position model. From Rfam's summary of the family: Transfer RNA (tRNA) molecules are approximately 80 nucleotides in length. RNAcentral also lists the same sequence under 23 other names. The record is from RNAcentral. Lineage: Bacteria; Bacillati; Bacillota; Clostridia; Lachnospirales; Lachnospiraceae.
CGUAGCUCAGCUGGAUAGAGCAACGGCCUUCUAAGCCGUGGGUCGGGGGUUCGAAUCCCUUCG